AUAGAGUCAGCCAAAGGUUAGUUCAGCGUUUUUUUUUGCAAGAUGUUCUGGAAAAACCAGAACGAACUUUUUGGUCAACCCAA
RNAcentral lists this microRNA precursor (83 nucleotides) under Ovis aries (sheep). RNAcentral's name for it is "miRNA (ENSOARG00000022563.1)". Lineage: Eukaryota; Metazoa; Chordata; Mammalia; Artiodactyla; Bovidae. The record is from RNAcentral.